Molecule: ribosomal RNA, 466 nt
Filed under: uncultured bacterium
Lineage: Bacteria
Description: partial 16S ribosomal RNA
Rfam family: Bacterial small subunit ribosomal RNA
Source: RNAcentral
AUGAACGCUGACAGAAUGCUUAACACAUGCCAGUCACCUCGAAUUUGGGUUUUUAACUUAGGUUUGGGUGUCGGACGGGUGAGUAACGCGUAAAGAACUUGCCUCACAGCUAGGGACAACAUUUGGAAACGAAUGCUAAUACCUAAUAUUAUGAUAAUAGGGCAUCCUAUAAUUAUGAAAGCUAUAAGCGCUGUGAGAGAGCUUUGCGUCCCAUUAGCUAGUUGGAGAGGUAACGGCUCACCAAGGCGAUGAUGGGUAGCCGGCCUGAGAGGGUGAUCGGCCACACGGGGACUGAGACACGGCCCUUACUCCUACGGGCGGCAGCAGUGAGUAAUAUUGGACAAUGGACCGAGAGUCUGAUCAAGCAAUUCUGUGUGCACGAUGAAGUUUUUCGGAAUGUAAAGUGCUUUCAGUUGGGAAGAAAAAAAUGACGGUACCAACAGAAGAAGUGACGGCUAAAUACGUG